RNAcentral lists this ribosomal RNA (1392 nucleotides) under Halomonas sp. SA-Hm1. RNAcentral's name for it is "16S ribosomal RNA". It matches the Rfam family "Bacterial small subunit ribosomal RNA". Lineage: Bacteria; Pseudomonadati; Pseudomonadota; Gammaproteobacteria; Oceanospirillales; Halomonadaceae. The record is from RNAcentral.
UGCAAGUCGAGCGGCAGCGGGAGGUGCUUGCACCUCGCCGGCGAGCGGCGGACGGGUGAGUAAUGCAUAGGAAUCUGCCCGGUAGUGGGGGAUAACCUGGGGAAACCCAGGCUAAUACCGCAUACGUCCUACGGGAGAAAGCAGGGGAUCUUCGGACCUUGCGCUAUCGGAUGAGCCUAUGCCGGAUUAGCUGGUUGGUAGGGUAAUGGCCUACCAAGGCAACGAUCCGUAGCUGGUCUGAGAGGAUGAUCAGCCACACUGGGACUGAGACACGGCCCAGACUCCUACGGGAGGCAGCAGUGGGGAAUAUUGGACAAUGGGCGAAAGCCUGAUCCAGCCAUGCCGCGUGUGUGAAGAAGGCUUUCGGGUUGUAAAGCACUUUCAGUGGGGAAGAAAGCCUGUCGGUUAAUACCCGGCAGGAACGACAUCACCCACAGAAGAAGCACCGGCUAACUCCGUGCCAGCAGCCGCGGUAAUACGGAGGGUGCGAGCGUUAAUCGGAAUUACUGGGCGUAAAGCGCGCGUAGGCGGCGUGAUAAGCCGGUUGUGAAAGCCCCGGGCUCAACCUGGGAACGGCAUCCGGAACUGUCGCGCUAGAGUGCAGGAGAGGAAGGUAGAAUUCCCGGUGUAGCGGUGAAAUGCGUAGAGAUCGGGAGGAAUACCAGUGGCGAAGGCGGCCUUCUGGACUGACACUGACGCUGAAGGUGCGAAAGCGUGGGUAGCAAACAGGAUUAGAUACCCUGGUAGUCCACGCCGUAAACGAUGUCGACUAGCCGUUGGGAGCCUUGAGUUCUUAGUGGCGCAGUUAACGCGAUAAGUCGACCGCCUGGGGAGUACGGCCGCAAGGUUAAAACUCAAAUGAAUUGACGGGGGCCCGCACAAGCGGUGGAGCAUGUGGUUUAAUUCGAUGCAACGCGAAGAACCUUACCUACCCUUGACAUCCUCGGAAUCCGCCAGAGAUGGUGGAGUGCCUUCGGGAGCCGAGUGACAGGUGCUGCAUGGCUGUCGUCAGCUCGUGUUGUGAAAUGUUGGGUUAAGUCCCGUAACGAGCGCAACCCUUGUCCCUAUUUGCCAGCGAUUCGGUCGGGAACUCUAGGGAGACUGCCGGUGACAAACCGGAGGAAGGUGGGGACGACGUCAAGUCAUCAUGGCCCUUACGGGUAGGGCUACACACGUGCUACAAUGGCAGGUACAAAGGGUCGCAAGACGGCGACGUGGAGCUAAUCCCAGAAAGCCUGCCUCAGUCCGGAUCGGAGUCUGCAACUCGACUCCGUGAAGUCGGAAUCGCUAGUAAUCGUGAAUCAGAAUGUCACGGUGAAUACGUUCCCGGGCCUUGUACACACCGCCCGUCACACCAUGGGAGUGGACUGCACCAGAAGUGGUUAGCCUAAC